UACAGAGGUCUCAAGCGUUGUUCGGAUUCAUUGGGCGUAAAGGGUGCGUAGGCGGCGCGGUAAGUCGGGUGUGAAAUCUCGGAGCUUAACUCCGAAACUGCAUUCGAUACUGCCGUGCUUGAGGACUGGAGAGGAGACUGGAAUUUACGGUGUAGCGGUGAAAUGCGUAGAUAUCAGGAGGAACACCAAUAGCGAAGGCAGCUCGCUGGGACGUUACUGACACUGAGGCGCGAAAGCGUGGGGAGCGAACAGG
Molecule: ribosomal RNA, 253 nt
Filed under: uncultured bacterium
Lineage: Bacteria
Description: partial 16S ribosomal RNA
Rfam family: Bacterial small subunit ribosomal RNA
Source: RNAcentral